GUGAAUCAUCAAAUUUUUGAACGCAAAUUGCGCUUCCUAGCAUCCCGGGAAGUAUGCCUGUUUGAGGGUCAGUAUUAACAAAAAAAUCGGUUUGGUUGCAAAUUGUGACGAUUCCGGAGUUUGGGCUAUCUUAACUUUUUUGGUUAAGGGGCUUAAAAUUGACCUUUUUUGCGCAUUUUUAGACGUACAUAAAUUUUUUUUUUUUUAGGUGUUUUUUAAGGUAUAAAUCUUAUUAA
This 236-nucleotide unclassified non-coding RNA is filed under the name Glomeraceae sp. RNAcentral's name for it is "partial contains 5.8S ribosomal RNA and internal transcribed spacer 2". The stretch from base 1 to 71 matches the Rfam family "5.8S ribosomal RNA", at positions 84 to 154 of the family's 154-position model. The record is from RNAcentral. Lineage: Eukaryota; Fungi; Glomeromycota; Glomeromycetes; Glomerales; Glomeraceae.